Long non-coding RNA from Betta splendens (Siamese fighting fish), 1718 nucleotides. RefSeq lists it as uncharacterized. The transcript is spliced from 7 exons. Lineage: Eukaryota; Metazoa; Chordata; Actinopteri; Anabantiformes; Osphronemidae. The record is from RefSeq and is a predicted model, not a curated record.
ACUGAUCAGAAAAUACAAGUAAAAUCCACAAUUUUAGCUUAGCUGUAAAAUGUCCUACCUCUCAGUGUCGCUGUUGGGUCGGGAAAAGAACUUUCUAGUUCUUUCUCCUAUUAGUAGCUAGGGGAAUUCCAUCUCGUCAUGGUUACAGCUUAUGGCCAAUCAGAGACUGUUUCUGUACACGUCAGUGUACAGUAAUAUUUAACUCAUCAGAGCUGCUUAUUUUGCUGCAGCAAAGAUUCUGGACCCACUGUAAACUGUUGCCUGAAUCUUUACUCAUGUUAAACGGGUUUAAUAAACAGGUAAACAAUUUUUUUCCAAAUGUUAAUCUUACGUUUUAUAUGAGGAGAGAAAAAUAUUUACAUCAUCAACUCACUAAUUAUUCAAAAUGAUGAGUGAUGCUUUAACAACCUAAAAAAAACAUUUUUGUCACUAUGUAGACUGUCUGACUUUGUCUGGACAUUUGAAUUCUGCCACAUACUGUAAACUGAGGCCGUGAUCAGUUCACCAGAGAAUGUGUCCCUGAGAAGGGAGGUCUGAGAGGUCUCCACCACCUGAUCAUGAUAAUGAUGAUGAUGAUGAUGAUGAUGAUGAAGAACCAUCAGGAGAUGCUCCUAAGGAUGUGUUGUUUGGUGAAGUCACCUCCAAUGACGUUGAAAAUGUGUGCUGGCAGCUCUCAAGCCCACUGUUGCACAAAUUUCCCAGAGUUUGACAACAAUUCACAUUUCUGCACUUCAUGUGAAAAAAAAUUCACCAUUUGAAACUCUGUUUUUGUGCAUGACCCCAGCACGUUCCCGAGGUCUGUGCUGCAAUUUGUGACAUUAGAUCUGCAGCGUGCAGCAAGAGUCCUGUUGGUGCCUACAUCACUUUCCAGGUUUUUAGCACCAGAACCUACAUUAGAUCUGUGGUCAUCACAGGGCAGAGAAAGUGAAGAUCCCUGCUAAUGGGCUGUCACAGGAACUGGAGAUUACCAGCAGCCAUCAGAAGAGAAAUACUAAGGGCUCAGAAGAACUGGAGAAGGCUUGGAAGGUGAAUGCCACAGUGGUGCCUGUGGUGAUCGGAGCACUGGGGGCAGUGACCCCCAAAUUGGAGGAGUGGCUACGACAGAUCCCUGGAAAAACAUCCGACAUCUCAGUCCAGAAAAGUGCAGUCCUAGGAACAGUAAGAUACUGCGCAGAACCCUCAAGCUCCUUGGCCUCUGGUAGAGGACCCGAGCUUGGAAAACGGAUGAGACCACCCGCGUGGGCUUUCUAGUAGAUACAGCUGAAGAGGAAUUGAACCUGCAGUAGCGUCUCACUGACACCAGGAGACUGUAGCUGGCUGGAGUUUAAAGAGCAGGAAGCAGAGGGAGGGUCCAAGCUUCACCUGGAGCUGAUCACCCUGAACAGUGGCUGUGAAGAUGCAGCUGCAAUUUGCUUUGCUUCUGAUCUUCACUGAUUUCUGCUUCUGUGUGAAAAUCGACCAGGCUCCAUUUGUAAUUAGCCGCGCUAAGGAGCCAUCAGUAACUCUGCAGUGCAAACAGGAUGACAGUACAUACUACUACAUGUACUGGUACAAACAGAGCAGCAGAGGGGAAAUGCAGCUGGUCACAUAUUCUAUCAAUAAAAACAUUGCAAGCACUGAAGCUCCCUUUAAGGAGUCCAAGCACAAAAUGUCUCGGCCUGAAGUGCUAACGUCCUCCCUGCAGAUAUUCACUGUUGAACCUGGAGACUCAGCUGUGU